UGUAUUGCUGGAUCUAUUUCCAAACAUGUAAUUUCUUCUUAAUGUUUAGGGGCAGAUCUAUGAACUGGGGUGGAGGUGAAAUCUUAUCUCUUAACACUAUUUUUCUUG
RNAcentral lists this microRNA precursor (108 nucleotides) under Echinops telfairi (small Madagascar hedgehog). RNAcentral's name for it is "miRNA (ENSETEG00000023748.1)". The record is from RNAcentral. Lineage: Eukaryota; Metazoa; Chordata; Mammalia; Afrosoricida; Tenrecidae.